GAACAAAUUAUUUUAUUUACAUACAACACUGUCAUUUCUGUUUUGCAGAAUCAAAUUUUGCCUCAAGAAUUGUUGUGAAUUCAAGUAGACUAAUAAACAAAUAUUUAGCAAUUUAUACAACAUAUAAAAACAUAUAUGACCAGUUUUAUUUAUUUGUAAUAUUGCCAAUACACAGAAACACCAUAUCUAGUGCUAUUGCAAUCAAUACGAUGCCUCGUUGGGGAAAAAAUACUACCGUGUUGGUGAUCUCAAGUAUCAACUGUUGGGUCUCGGGAGCAUUCAGAUCGGAGAACACUGGCUUGAAGGUUUGAGUAAGUCUGAACACUAAGUUAAGUGAUGCAGUAUUAGGAGCGGAGGAGACUGUUGCAGCUGGAGUAGAGACUGUUGUUGCUGGAGUCGUAGUUUGAUUAAAACUUGAAGUU
Molecule: long non-coding RNA, 422 nt
Organism: Carassius gibelio (silver crucian carp)
Lineage: Eukaryota; Metazoa; Chordata; Actinopteri; Cypriniformes; Cyprinidae
Exons: 2
Source: RefSeq, a predicted model, not a curated record